AUCUAAAUAGUUUAAAAAAAAUGUUGAUUUGUGGUGUCAAAGAUAUAGGAAUAUUUUAGAUU
RNAcentral lists this transfer RNA (62 nucleotides) under Longitarsus atricillus. RNAcentral's name for it is "tRNA-His". Lineage: Eukaryota; Metazoa; Arthropoda; Insecta; Coleoptera; Chrysomelidae. The record is from RNAcentral.